ACAGUUGCUAAGACUGGAUAGGAAAUUAAAAGGCAUCUUUUAAUUUUUAAAAGACCUUUUUCGGAAGGUAUGCUUAAAGAGGGGCUUGCGCCACAUUAGUUAGUUGGUAAGGUAAAGGCUUACCAAGACGAUGAUGUGUAGCUGGACUGAGAGGUCGAACAGCCACAUUGGGACUGAGACACGGCCCAAACUCCUACGGGAGGCAGCAGUAAGGAAUUUUUGGCAAUGGAGGAAACUCUGACCGAGCGACGCCGCGUGAACAAUGAAGUACUUCGGUAUGUAAAGUUCUUUUAUUGAAAAAGAAAAAAUAGUGGAAAAACUAUCUUGACAUUAUUCAAUGAAUAAGCCCCGGCUAAUUAUGUGCCAGCAGCCGCGGUAAUACAUAAGGGGCGAGCGUUAUCCGGAAUUAUUGGGCGUAAAGGGUGCGUAGGCGGUUUGAUAAGUCUAUAGUUUAAUUGCAGUGCUUAACGCUGUACCGCUAUAGAAACUGUCUGACUAGAGUUAGAUAGAGGCAAGCGGAAUUCCAUGUGUAGCGGUAAAAUGCGUAAAUAUAUGGAGGAACACCAGAGGCGUAGGCGGCUUGCUGGGUCUUAACUGACGCUGAGGCACGAAAGCGUGGGGAGCAAACAGGAUUAGAUAUCCCGGUUAGUUCACGCCGUAAACGAUGAGUACUAAGUGUCGGGUUUUGGCUCGGUACUGAAGUUAACACAUUAAGUACUCCGCCUGAGUAGUACGUACGCAAGUAUGAAACUUAAAGGAAUUGACGGGACCCCGCACAAGCGUGGAUCAUGUUGUUUAAUUCGAAGAUACACGAAAAACCUUACCAGGUCUUGACAUAAUUUUGCGACAUUAUAGAAAUAUAAUGAAGGUUAUCAGAAUUACAGGUGGUGCAUGGUUGUCGUCAGCUCGUGUCGUGAGAUGUUAGGUUAAGUCCUAAAACGAGCGCAACCCUUGUCGUUAGUUGCGACCACAUAAUGGUGAGCACUUUAGCGAGACUGCCAAUGAAAAAUUGGAGGAAGGUGAGGAUUACGUCAAAUCAUCAUGCCCCUUAUGAUCUGGGCUACAAACGUGAUACAAUGGCUGUUACAAAGAGUAGCUACAACGUGAGUUUUUAGCCAAUCUCAAAAAAACAGUCUCAGUUCGGAUUGAAGUCUGCAACUCGACUUCAUGAAGUUGGAAUCGCUAGUAAUCGCGAAUCAGCAUGUCGCGGUGAAUACGUUCUCGGGGUUUGUACACACCGCCCGUCAAACCACGAAAGUUGAUAAUACCCAAAACC
This 1276-nucleotide ribosomal RNA is filed under the name 'Citrus sinensis' phytoplasma. RNAcentral describes it as "bacterial SSU rRNA". It matches the Rfam family "Bacterial small subunit ribosomal RNA", at positions 156 to 1428 of the family's 1533-position model. Lineage: Bacteria; Bacillati; Mycoplasmatota; Mollicutes; Acholeplasmatales; Acholeplasmataceae. The record is from RNAcentral.